UGGUUUCCCCCAAGGCUGGACUCCAGG
RNAcentral lists this non-coding RNA (27 nucleotides) under Rattus norvegicus (Norway rat). Lineage: Eukaryota; Metazoa; Chordata; Mammalia; Rodentia; Muridae. The record is from RNAcentral.